RNAcentral lists this ribosomal RNA (240 nucleotides) under Mycobacterium farcinogenes. RNAcentral describes it as "Mycolicibacterium farcinogenes partial 23S ribosomal RNA". It matches the Rfam family "Bacterial large subunit ribosomal RNA", at positions 559 to 772 of the family's 2925-position model. Lineage: Bacteria; Bacillati; Actinomycetota; Actinomycetes; Mycobacteriales; Mycobacteriaceae. The record is from RNAcentral.
UGCGCUUACAAUCCGUCAGAGCCUUCGACUUUGUCGUGGGGUGAUGGCGUGCCUUUUGAAGAAUGAGCCUGCGAGUCAGGGACAUGUCGCGAGGUUAACCCGGGUGGGGUAGCCGCAGCGAAAGCGAGUCUGAAUAGGGCGUAUCCACACAGUAGUGUGUGGUGUAGUGGUGUGUUCUGGACCCGAAGCGGAGUGAUCUACCCAUGGCCAGGGUGAAGCGCGGGUAAGACCGCGUGGAGG